Non-coding RNA from Microcebus murinus (gray mouse lemur), 1064 nucleotides. NCBI's taxonomy places the organism in Eukaryota, Metazoa, Chordata, Mammalia, Primates, Cheirogaleidae. The record is from RefSeq and is a predicted model, not a curated record.
UAUGAUACUGCCUUUUAAAAAUAGUUUUGCACCUGAUGGUAUGUUUUGAAAAUCACCUUCUGAUUCUGAACAGAAUUUUGUUUGUGUUUAGUUUUGUAGACAUUUGAUCCUUUCAGAAAAAGGUCAUAUCGAAUGGAAGUUGAUGUAUUUUGCACUUCAGAAGUAUUACCCAACUAAAGAACAGUAUGGAGAUACUUUGCACUUUUGUCGGCACUGCAGCAUUCUCUUUUGGAAGGACUACCAUCUUGCUUUACUGUUCAAGGACUCGGGACAUCCCUGCACUGCGGCCGACCCUGACAGCUGCUUCACGCCUGUGUCCCCACAGCACUUCAUCGACCUCUUCAAGUUCUGAAGCUGCCCCUCACCCUGCCGUCUGCUGGAGGCCGUCCUGGUGCCGUGUGGGGCUCCGUGUGCAGCGCUCUGGUCCGGCGGGGCAGGGCGUGGUUGUGCACAUGCAUCUUUGGAGGUCGGGGCCCACGCAAAAUCAUUUCUACUUCCAUCUGUGAAAACUUUUCUUCUGAGCAUAUUAGGAUUUUUUCUGAGCAGUUUUUCAUAUUUUAUAUAUAUGGUUCAAAGAAGAUUUUGGAUUUUCAACCCCUCAUUCUGUGCUGAACUGAUACAGAAGGCCUUCUAGAACAUGCUUCUCCAUUGUCAAACCAUAGUUUCCCCAUUUUAUAGCAAUUGGAGUGGGGGACAAAACAGUUGAUCUUUGUAAAUACAUUGUGCAGAAUAUUUAUUUUUUCUUAAAACAUAUUUUAACUCCAUUGGCUGUGCCCAAAUGAGUCCUCUUUGAAUACAGAACGAACCUAGGGAAGUGCUGGCACGUUCCGACUGGCGGUAGGGGGUCAGCUGUGCGUUGCGUGCUAUGCCCUACACGGGGCGGUGGCUUCCCUGGGCACCAGGUAUAGGCCUGGGCAGGGCACCUGCUGCCAGGGGGCCGUGUGCACGCACACCUGGACUGUGCCCACCAGCCCACGCAGGAGCGUGUGCCCAGACUGAGCUGGGAACAGCCACUGUGGUCUAAACUCCUUUCACAGACAGGAAUAAAUCACAUUUAUCCCAUA